RNAcentral lists this ribosomal RNA (658 nucleotides) under uncultured Lactococcus sp. Its description in RNAcentral is "bacterial SSU rRNA". It matches the Rfam family "Bacterial small subunit ribosomal RNA", at positions 28 to 669 of the family's 1533-position model. Lineage: Bacteria; Bacillati; Bacillota; Bacilli; Lactobacillales; Streptococcaceae. The record is from RNAcentral.
GACGAACGCUGGCGGCGUGCCUAAUACAUGCAAGUUGAGCGCUGAAGGUUGGUACUUGUACCGACUGGAUGAGCAGCGAACGGGUGAGUAACGCGUGGGGAAUCUGCCUUUGAGCGGGGGACAACAUUUGGAAACGAAUGCUAAUACCGCGUAAAAACUUUAAACACAAGUUUUAAGUUUGAAAGAUGCAAUUGCAUCACUCAAAGAUGAUCCCGCGUUGUAUUAGCUAGUUGGUGAGGUAAAGGCUCACCAAGGCGAUGAUACAUAGCCGACCUGAGAGGGUGAUCGGCCACAUUGGGACUGAGACACGGCCCAGACUCCUACGGGAGGCAGCAGUAGGGAAUCUUCGGCAAUGGGGGCAACCCUGACCGAGCAACGCCGCGUGAGUGAAGAAGGUUUUCGGAUCGUAAAACUCUGUUGGUAGAGAAGAACGUUGGUGAGAGUGGAAAGCUCAUCAAGAGACGGUAACUACCCAGAAAGGGACGGCUAACUACGUGCCAGCAGCCGCGGUAAUACGUAGGUCCCGAGCGUUGUCCGGAUUUAUUGGGCGUAAAGCGAGCGCAGGUGGUUUAUUAAGUCUGGUGUAAAAGGCAGUGGCUCAACCAUUGUAUGCAUCGGAAACUGGGAGACUAGAGUGCAGGAGAGGAGAGUGGAAUUC